RNAcentral lists this ribosomal RNA (467 nucleotides) under uncultured bacterium. Its description in RNAcentral is "partial 16S ribosomal RNA". It matches the Rfam family "Bacterial small subunit ribosomal RNA", at positions 28 to 506 of the family's 1533-position model. The record is from RNAcentral.
GACGAACGCUGGCGGCGUGCUUAACACAUGCAAGUCGAACGGAAAGGCCCUGCUUUUGUGGGGUGCUCGAGUGGCGAACGGGUGAGUAACACGUGAGUAACCUGCCCUUGACUUUGGGAUAACUUCAGGAAACUGGGGCUAAUACCGGAUAGGAGCUCCUGCUGCAUGGUGGGGGUUGGAAAGUUUCGGCGGUUGGGGAUGGACUCGCGGCUUAUCAGCUUGUUGGUGGGGUAGUGGCUUACCAAGGCUUUGACGGGUAGCCGGCCUGAGAGGGUGACCGGCCACAUUGGGACUGGGAUACGGCCCAGACUCCUACGGGAGGGAGGAGUGGGGAAUAUUGCAAAAUGGGCGGAAGCCUGAUGCAGCAACGCCGCGUGCGGGAUGACGGCCUUCGGGGUGUAAACCGCUUUCGCCUGUGACGAAGCGUGAGUGACGGUAAUGGGGAAAGAAGCACCGGCUAACUACGU